UUGACUGGCGCCGGUGGUGCUUCGUCCGUUAGCCUCGGCGCUCCCGCCGUACUUUCUUUUCCGCUUGGCAGGGUCGCCACAUCUGCCACAGGCCGACUCCCGAAGGUGGCAGAGCCACCGCGGCGGCACACCCUGUGGGUCUUACUGCCACGCUCUCCACACGACGACGCCUCCUUCGUCCUCUCGUUGCCGCCGCCGCCGCCGCCGCCGCCGCCGCCGGGACCAGAGAGGCCGGAGACAAGAUCCUGGCGCUCUCUGAGCGUAUGGCUCUUCGACGCCGUGGGCCCAACGUCGGGACACUCGCACAGUUUGGGCAAUGAAACGGUCAGUGGCCGUCAAGCUACGUAAAAGCACAAGAGCAAAUUAUGCCUUUGAAAAAGGAAGGUGAACAUUACAGGAAUUUUGAAAAUGAAAGUCCUCCCUAGUCUGCUCUACCAGCUUGGCUCACCUGCAGAGUCUCAGACCACUCCCACCCUGACCUGCUGAAUCAGGUCCUGCAUUUAACAGGAUCCCACGGACUCAAGCCACCUGGAAAUGUGAAGAGCUGGCAGCAACCCUCCUUCGCCCUGAGCCCAGCCAAGACAACAAGUGUCACCAGGUUUGUGUGCAUGAGAACCUUUGAAAAAGCACACUUUUCUAACCUCUCAGCAAUUAUCUGCAAUUUUCUAACCUCAUCUAAAGCCAAAAUGCUCGUCAAAGUCAUCCAGCAGAAAGCUAAUAAAGACCUCAUUAUCUAGUC
This is a long non-coding RNA of Callorhinus ursinus (northern fur seal), 739 nucleotides long. RefSeq lists it as uncharacterized. The record is from RefSeq and is a predicted model, not a curated record. NCBI's taxonomy places the organism in Eukaryota, Metazoa, Chordata, Mammalia, Carnivora, Otariidae.